GCCGGCGUGGCGGAAUCGGUAGACGCGACGGACUCAAAAUCCGUUGCCCCUUAAAGGCGUGUGGGUUCGAGUCCCUCCGCCGGCA
Molecule: transfer RNA, 85 nt
Filed under: Verrucomicrobiales bacterium
Lineage: Bacteria; Pseudomonadati; Verrucomicrobiota; Verrucomicrobiia; Verrucomicrobiales
Description: tRNA-Leu
Rfam family: tRNA
About the family: Transfer RNA (tRNA) molecules are approximately 80 nucleotides in length. Their secondary structure includes four short double-helical elements and three loops (D, anti-codon, and T loops).
Source: RNAcentral